RNAcentral lists this unclassified non-coding RNA (188 nucleotides) under uncultured fungus. RNAcentral describes it as "sequence contains ITS1". The record is from RNAcentral. Lineage: Eukaryota; Fungi.
AUAAAUAUACUGUGACCUGCAAAGGUCUAAUGUAUCCAACCCUUUGUGAAACUUCUAUUUUUGCUUCGGCAGCACUCCCAAUAGGUAAUACUAUUGGUGGGGUAAGGCUGUCAGAAGACCAAUAAAACUAGUUUGAUGAAAUGUCAUGCAGUCUGAUAAAUCAUUUUUUGAGAAAUCAAAUUAUGUUA